This 76-nucleotide transfer RNA is filed under the name Camelus bactrianus (Bactrian camel). It matches the Rfam family "tRNA". Rfam says of the family: Transfer RNA (tRNA) molecules are approximately 80 nucleotides in length. Their secondary structure includes four short double-helical elements and three loops (D, anti-codon, and T loops). The record is from Rfam by way of RNAcentral. Lineage: Eukaryota; Metazoa; Chordata; Mammalia; Artiodactyla; Camelidae. RNAcentral also lists the same sequence under 2 other names.
GAGGGUGUAGCUCAGUGAUAGAGCGCAUGCCUGCCUAGUAUGCACGAGGCCCCGGGUUCAAUCCCCAGGGCCUUCU